UAGUCCAUGCCGUAAACGAUGAUUACUCGACAUUAGCAUAGCUAGUGUCCAAGCGAAAGUAAUAAGUAAUCCACCUGGGGAGUACGAUCGCAAGAUUGAAACUCAAAGGAAUUGACGGGGGCCCGCACAAGCGGUGGAGCAUGUGGUUUAAUUCGAUGAUACGCGAGGAACCUUACCAGGGCUUAAAUGUAGAUUGACAGGUUUAGAGAUAGACUUUUCUUCGGACAAUUUACAAGGUGCUGCAUGGUUGUCGUCAGCUCGUGCCGUGAGGUGCCAGGUUAAGUCCUAUAACGAGCGCAACCCCUGCCGUUAGUUGCCAGCAUUUAAAGAUGGGGACUCUAACGGGACUGCCGGUGCAAACCGCGAGGAAGUGGGGACGACGUCAAAUCAUCACGGCCCUUACGUCCUGGGCUACACACGUGCUACAAUGGCCGGUACAGAGAGUUGCCACAUCGCAAGAUGGAGCGGAUCUUUAAAACCGGUCACAGUUCGGAUCGGGGUCUGCAACUCCG
This 512-nucleotide ribosomal RNA is filed under the name uncultured bacterium. RNAcentral describes it as "bacterial SSU rRNA". It matches the Rfam family "Bacterial small subunit ribosomal RNA", at positions 791 to 1314 of the family's 1533-position model. The record is from RNAcentral.